GAGGAAUAUUGGUCAAUGGACGAGAGUCUGAACCAGCCAAGUCGCGUGCAGGAAGAAUGUCCUAUGGAUUGUAAACUGCUUUUGCAGGGGAAUAAAGUGCAUCACGUGUGAUGUUUUGUAUGUACUCUGCGAAUAAGCAUCGGCUAACUACGUGCCAGCAGCCGCGGUAAUACGGAGGAUGCAAGCGUUAUCCGGAUUUAUUGGGUUUAAAGGGAGCGUAGGCGGACUAUUAAGUCAGCUGUGAAAGUUUACGGCUCAACUGUGAAAUUGCAGUUGAAACUGGUCGUCUUGAGUGCAGUAAAGGUGGGCGGAAUUCGUGGUGUAGCGGUGAAAUGCUUAGAUAUCACGAAGAACUCCAAUUGCGAAGGCAGCUCACUGGAGUGUAACUGACGCUGAUGCUCGAAAGUGUGGGUAUCAAACA
RNAcentral lists this ribosomal RNA (421 nucleotides) under uncultured Bacteroides sp. RNAcentral's name for it is "bacterial SSU rRNA". It matches the Rfam family "Bacterial small subunit ribosomal RNA", at positions 356 to 774 of the family's 1533-position model. Lineage: Bacteria; Pseudomonadati; Bacteroidota; Bacteroidia; Bacteroidales; Bacteroidaceae. The record is from RNAcentral.